GUGCGUUUGGGGGAAGGGUUGAUUUAGGGAAGGGUUAGUGUUAAGAUAAAACUAGUGUUAAGUUAAACCUAGUUUUAUCAUAACCCUUGUUUGGGGGAAGGGUUUAAAAAGGUAGUUUUAUGAUAAUAUGUGUUUGGGGGAAGGGUUAGGUGGGAAGAGUUAAUGGGGAUUUUAUGAUAAAAUGUGUUUGGGGGAAGGGUUAGGUGGGUAGUUUUAUGGGAAUUUUAUGAUAAAAUGUGUUUGGGGGAAGGGUUAAGUGGGUAGGUUUAUGUGGAUUUUGUGAUAAAUUUUAUUUGGGAAAAUUGUUAAAUGGGGUGGGUUAAUUAAUUUUUUAUGUUGUAUAAUAUUUUUAAAUUCAAUUGUAAAUAUCAUAAAAAAAUUAUUGCAUAUUUUUUUACGAAA
This is a long non-coding RNA of Cucumis melo (muskmelon), 402 nucleotides long. RefSeq lists it as uncharacterized. The record is from RefSeq and is a predicted model, not a curated record. The transcript has 2 exons. Lineage: Eukaryota; Viridiplantae; Streptophyta; Magnoliopsida; Cucurbitales; Cucurbitaceae.